RNAcentral lists this unclassified non-coding RNA (77 nucleotides) under [Clostridium] polysaccharolyticum. Lineage: Bacteria; Bacillati; Bacillota; Clostridia; Lachnospirales; Lachnospiraceae. The record is from RNAcentral.
AACCGCCACGUGCCGAACGGUUUGCGUGGUGGUGUGAGAGGACGGAAAUUCAAUUAAUGAAUUUCCUCCUACUCGAU